AAGAAAUUGAGUUCUAUAAAUACACAUACCUCAAUGAUCAUCUAUAGGUUUUUCUCUCCUAUAUUAUUAAAGACUUCCAUCAAUAGAGUGAAUGAUCUUAAAGCUAGAAAUAUUUCAUCUCACUCAAAUGAUUCUAAAAGAAAGAAAAUGUAAAUGCUUUUGAAAGAAACUGAGCUUCAAAUGAAUCAUUUUCUGAUUAAUAUUACUAUAUAUUCUCUCUAAGAUUAGGAGAAAGCAUAACUU
RNAcentral lists this long non-coding RNA (243 nucleotides) under Phoenix dactylifera (date palm). Its description in RNAcentral is "long non-coding RNA (PDAC_LNC019879)". Lineage: Eukaryota; Viridiplantae; Streptophyta; Magnoliopsida; Arecales; Arecaceae. The record is from RNAcentral.